UUGACAUUAUGUUUACCUAUUACUAUUUUAACCUUACCAAAAAUUUUAAAAAAGUAGCCCAUUCUUGUUAAAUUUCUUUUACAAGUAACACCAAAGGUCUUAAGAUUACAUUGUCUAGAUGUGUUCUCAUUGGCACUAUUCUUUAAGCUCCUGUUGAAUUAGACAAUCUGAUAUUAACAAAUGAUGAAAGUAACACCAAAGGUCUUAAGAUUACAUUGUCUAGAUGUGUUCUCAUUGGCACUAUUCUUUAAGCUCCUGUUGAAUUAGACAAUCUGAUAUUAACAAAUGAUGAAAGUAACACCAAAGGUCUUAAGAUUACAUUGUCUAGAUGUGUUCUCAUUGGCACUAUUCUUUAAGCUCCUGUUGAAUUAGACAAUCUGAUAUUAACAAAUGAUGAAAGUAACACCAAAGGUCUUAAGAUUACAUUGUCUAGAUGUGUUCUCAUUGGCACUAUUCUUUAAGCUCCUGUUGAAUUAGACAAUCUGAUAUUAACAAAUGAUGAAAGUAACACCAAAGGUCUUAAGAUUACAUUGUCUAGAUGUGUUCUCAUUGGCACUAUUCUUUAAGCUCCUGUUGAAUUAGACAAUCUGAUAUUAACAAAUGAUGAAUGAUAUUAAUUCAUCAAUAAGCAUUAUUCAUGUUGAGCUUCUUGUGACAGAUAAGAGGUAAAUAAAAACUGAGAAGCAUUUUAAA
Molecule: long non-coding RNA, 693 nt
Organism: Ailuropoda melanoleuca (giant panda)
Lineage: Eukaryota; Metazoa; Chordata; Mammalia; Carnivora; Ursidae
Exons: 2
Source: RefSeq, a predicted model, not a curated record